AAUCAACGCUGGCGGCGUGCCUAACACAUGCAAGUCGAACGCGAAAGUCCCGCAAGGGAUGAGUAGAGUGGCAAACGGGUGAGUAACACGUGGGUGACCUGCCUUCGAGCGGGGGAUAACGUCCCGAAAGGGACGCUAAUACCGCAUGACAUCCUGCCUUUGAAGAGGUGGAGAUCAAAGCUGGGGAUCGCAAGACCUAGCACUUGAAGGACGGGGCCCGCGUCNGAUUAGCUAGUUGGUGGGGUAACGGCUCACCAAGGCAACGAUCAGUAUCCGGCCUGAGAGGGCGGACGGACACACUGGGACUGAGACACGGCCCAGACUCCUACGGGAGGCAGCAGUGGGGAAUUGUUCGCAAUGGGCGCAAGCCUGACGACGCAACGCCGCGUGGAGGAUGAAGACC
Molecule: ribosomal RNA, 403 nt
Filed under: uncultured bacterium
Lineage: Bacteria
Description: bacterial SSU rRNA
Rfam family: Bacterial small subunit ribosomal RNA
Source: RNAcentral